UCCGAGCCCCCCUUGGCUUCCCCCCGUUGCAUUUCCCUCGGUUGAAAGGAAGGCGCGGGAGCUUGGUUUGCAACGGAAAGGGAGUCUCUUCCUCCGCCUCGUCUCGGGGGCUUCUCCCCUGUCCUCCCUCCUCACUGAGGGACAGUCGCUUGGCUCGGUUAUUUCUUUGGCAGGGACACAGCUUUCAGAUUGUGGCGCCUUCAGAAGGAGCGUCUGGAGAAAGAGGAGAUUCGCGCCCAGGAAGCUCUCGCCCUCCUGGAGAAAAAGAGGCUGGUGAGCGCGUUUGAGGCCUGGCGUUCCCGCUACAGGGCAGCCCGGCGGAUCCUGCCAUUGGUGGCUCAGGUGCAGAGAGGGCUGCUAAGCCGCUGUUUCCAGGCCUGGAAGUCUGUCACCGACCGGGCGGCGCUAUGCAGGCAUGGCAGGGAACGCCUGCGACUCGAAUCCCUGAGGGUGCAUUUCCAUCAAUGGGCCCUGAUGUUGCAAGUCCGGGAAAAGGCCAAGAAGACUCUGCUGGAGCUGUGGGCCUUGAAGUGGAGGCGAGCCCACGGAAGGCAGCUCGGAGGACGGUAGCCAGGCUAGCAUCUCCUCGUCGUUGACGAUUGAAGACUCAGGGCACCUUCCUCAUCACGGCUCCCCUUCUCCCAGCCAUUUCCCCAGUGACUCGCAAGAUCUCGCUGCCACAGAUCUUCACAUGCAAGCGCCGUUCCCUCUGGGUUAUGGCCACACCCAGAAUCGGAGGCAGCUGCUGGCGAAAUGCUUUGCGUUUUGGUCGGCCAGGACUGUGCAAAACCUGAAGGCAGAACAACACCGCAAGCGGGCUCUCCUCUCCAGGUAAGAGUCUUGGGCAGGGAUUCCGCAAACCCAAAAAUCUCAGGCCCAACUGAACAGGCCUCGGUCCAGUAUACC
Molecule: non-coding RNA, 906 nt
Organism: Podarcis muralis (Common wall lizard)
Lineage: Eukaryota; Metazoa; Chordata; Lepidosauria; Squamata; Lacertidae
Source: RefSeq, a predicted model, not a curated record